RNAcentral lists this ribosomal RNA (379 nucleotides) under Indirana chiravasi (Amboli leaping frog). RNAcentral describes it as "partial 12S ribosomal RNA". It matches the Rfam family "Bacterial small subunit ribosomal RNA", at positions 853 to 1406 of the family's 1533-position model. Lineage: Eukaryota; Metazoa; Chordata; Amphibia; Anura; Ranixalidae. The record is from RNAcentral.
ACACCCACAAACGCCAGGGGAUUACGAGCAAACCUAAAACCCAAAGGACUUGACGGUGUCCCAUUCCCCCUAGAGGAGCCUGUUCUAUAAUCGAUAAACCCCGCUUUACCUUACCACUUCUCGUCCAUUCAGCCUGUAUACCUCCGUCGUAAGCUUGCCCUGUGAAUGUCUAUUAAGCAAGCCCAAGGACCUUACCACCAAUACGUCAGGUCAAGGUGCAGUCCAUGAAGUGGAAAGCAAUGGGCUACAAUUUCUAAGCUAGAACAAACGAAGUACUGCAUGAAACACAGUCAUGAAGGCGGAUUUAGUAGUAAAAAAGAACCAGUAAGUCUUUUUUAAUCCGGCCCUGGGACGUGUACACACCGCCCGUCACCCUCAA